Molecule: ribosomal RNA, 250 nt
Filed under: uncultured bacterium
Lineage: Bacteria
Description: partial 16S ribosomal RNA
Rfam family: Bacterial small subunit ribosomal RNA
Source: RNAcentral
UACAGAGGGUGCAAGCGUUAAUCGGAAUUACUGGGCGUAAAGAGCACGUAGGUGGGUAUUUAAGUCGAAUGUGAAACCCCUGAGCUUAACUUGGGGACUGCAUGCGAUACUGAAUGCCUAGAGUAUAGUAGAGGGAAGUGGAAUUUCCGGAGUAGCGGUGAAAUGCGUAGAUAUCGGAAGGAACACCAGUGGCGAAGGCGGCUUCCUGGGCUAAUACUGACACUGAGGUGCGAAAGCGUGGGGAGCAAAC